Molecule: long non-coding RNA, 951 nt
Filed under: Chinchilla lanigera (long-tailed chinchilla)
Lineage: Eukaryota; Metazoa; Chordata; Mammalia; Rodentia; Chinchillidae
Description: lncRNA (ENSCLAG00000028403.1)
Source: RNAcentral
AUGACUUCUCCUUAUUCUUCUUUAGUGCCUCCUGGCUGUUUAGAGGGUGAUCCUUUCAAAAAUGCUUGCAGGUCAGUGCCAACUCAAAGAUGGAACAGAUUUCAAGAUCUGGGGAUGUUUCUCCAUGAUGGUGUUUCAGACAUGAUAGUGGAGGAGGAGAGAGAGAAACAGAAAGAGAAAGAGAGAAAGAGAGACAGACAGACAGAGACACACAAAGAGACAAAGACGGAGAGAGGUGAAAUUGGAGACAUCAGCGUUCUUAAAAGCUUUCCAGUGGAAAAGAACAGAAGCUCCUUGUCAGAAGCAGGCUAUUAUACAGAGAAGAGAGACACCCCCACUCCCAACCUCUCAUCCAGCCUUCCCUGCACUGUCCAGGCCCUCGUCCCCUGCAGGAGGAAUCUGCAUCUGGCUGACACAGCCCUGGGAGCAGCCACCACCUGCUGGUGUACAGCUCCCAGCUGUUCCCCUCCACAGGCUGCUUCUGGACUCCCAAAACCUGGGCCCUGAGAGCCCAGUGAGCCCUGCAGACUCCUGCACUUCCUUGCAGCUGAGAAGAGGGGAUGACAGCAGCAUUUUCAGUUCACACCUGACUUUUUGAUGAAAAUGAGCAGAACCAAACACCAGAAAAAUGCAGGGAAGAGGCCUGUGCCGUAGGACAGGUAGAGGGAGCCCAGGCAGAGCUGCCACAUAGCCUGGAUCCCGGAUAAGGCCCACACUCGUGCUCCAGGCUCUGAUGGAAAGGACAGCGCUAUUCUGCUGACCCAGGGGUGGCAGGAGUCUGAGGUCAAUUUCUCAGGUCCACACCCAGGCAGACAGGGCAACUGUGGGACUUCGUGAGAUCCUGUAUCAAACUAAAUUAAAAAAUAUAAAAGGGCAAGGGUUGUUGCUCAGUGUGAAGGUCUUGGAACCAAUCCCCAUUGCUGCAAUAAAUAAAGUUCCUUUCUCCCCAGC